Molecule: long non-coding RNA, 385 nt
Filed under: Falco tinnunculus (common kestrel)
Lineage: Eukaryota; Metazoa; Chordata; Aves; Falconiformes; Falconidae
Description: lncRNA (ENSFTIG00000006838.1)
Source: RNAcentral
CAGUGACAUCUUGUUGCUGCUGGGUGAGAGGCCGGUGGAGCCCCUGGCGUGGCCCUGGCUGCCCACGGUCUGUCGGGGGCUUGCAGGGUACCACAGCAUGACAGAGCUUGUGGCAGCGUGUGUUACCUGUUUUACUGCUGUUUUUUUCCCCAGAGCUUUGAAGGAGACAAAGAGGGCUUUAUUUCAGCUCCAAGCCAAAUACUUGAGAGAAAAAUAUCAUCCCCGCUGUUUUCCCGUACUGCAGGAAAAGCAGAGGCAGGGAGAACUACAGGCCACAUACUAUAUGGAAAUAAAUACUAGUUAUAUGUGGACACCUUUGCUGAAGUUGCUAAGGAGCAGAGCUAGCAAUUUCCUUCUCAAAAUCCAGAUAUAUCAAACAACAUAA